AUACGUAGGGUGCAAGCGUUAUCCGGAUUUACUGGGUGUAAAGGGAGCGUAGACGGAAGGCCAAGUCUGAUGUGAAAGCCCGCGGCUCAACUGCGGGACUGCAUUGGAAACUGGUCACCUGGAGUGCAGGAGGGGUAAGCGGAAUUCCUAGUGUAGCGGUGAAAUGCGUAGAUAUUAGGAGGAACACCGGUGGCGAAGGCGGCUUACUGGACUGUAACUGACGUUGAGGCUCGAAAGCGUGGGGAGCAAACAGGAUUAGAUACCCUGGUAGUCCACGCCGUAAACGAUGAGUGCUAGGUGUUGGGGGUCAAACCUCGGUGCCGCAGCUAACGCAUUAAGCGCUCCGCCUGGGGAGUACGUACGCAAGUAUGAAACUCAAAUGAAUUGACGGGG
Molecule: ribosomal RNA, 393 nt
Filed under: uncultured bacterium
Lineage: Bacteria
Description: partial 16S ribosomal RNA
Rfam family: Bacterial small subunit ribosomal RNA
Source: RNAcentral